AGAGGUCGCGAGAGAACUGAAAAAGGGGACCGGCCUUUCCCGGCUGCCUAAGCACUUGGGUUCCGGCCUGGAAGGAGGCCCAGGGCUCCCACAAAGAGAAAUAAGGGACCUAUUUGGAUGGAUCCCAAGAAACACUGUCUGGCAUCUGAUUUGAACGAGGCUCGGCGCAGCCGGGCCCUUUUCGCAAAGUAGGCCCACUGCAGACCUGUGGGAACCUCCGGGAUGCCUGGGGACCCGCAUCUGCCGCUACCCGCAAUUUCCUAUCCCGACCCUCUCUGCAGUUGUCGACCCCGGCCGGCGGCUUUGAGCGUGGGGUCCCGCAGACCCUGGCACCUAGGGGGCCGAAGCCGAGGGAUCUUGGGGUAGAAGAGCGGUCCUACAGAGCUGCCGCUUCGAAAGAGCCCCCAAUCGACCGCUGAUGGGGAAUGGAGGAUUUUGCUGUUUUAUUGCAGCCCGCCCCCGGAGAAAGGCGGGCUCGGACGUUCUUGACUUUAGGAUAGACUGGGGAGGGGUGCCGAGGAGCGUUCUUCCCUUUACGUCUCGCGGUCGCAGACUGUAUUUGCUGGUGCCCUGCUCACUGUGAUCUCGCAGGACCUUGCGGACUUACGGAGACGAAAAGUGGCCUACUUUGAGCUUCUCUGAUCCUUAGGGGAAAUGAGUGUCCAAAGAGAAAUAGGUGCAGAGUGCCGGCACUAGAAUUCUUUAAACCUGGAUUCAAAUUCUGACUCCACCACUCUCCAGUUAGGACUGAGGGCAAUUUAUUUUUAACUUCUCCAAGCCUCUGUUUACUCGUUUAUGUAACUCAGGCUAAUAACGUAGUGUCUAUUUCAUAGGGUGGCUUUGACUAUUAAGUGUGAGAGUGCAUGUAAGAACAGUCUAAGGGAAUUUCCCUGCCUUUCCCCUUGUCUGCUGUCACUCUCAUCCGUGUUAGACAAAUGGAAUUAAUUAACCAACUUCCGCUUUUCUGAAGCACGGGUAAAGAGUGAAGUGCAGGACUUGGGUAAAGGAAAAACCAAGAAGGAUGCAAAAGAUGGAUGGUCAUUGUGAGAUCCACAGAGGUGCUCAUCCCAGCACUUUCACCUCACUUGGCAUCUGUCACAUGGUGGGUGCUUGAUAAGUACAUGGGUGAAUGAGGACCUACCUAAGCAGAAGGAAUUAUUGAAUAAGACUAGAAUUGCAGGGAGAGGAUGAAUCAGAUUGAUUAGCUACUUGACAAAAAAAGGCAAACCACUCUUCCUGUCAGAAAUGUAUGGCACAUCUGCAUAUUUCAAGGGCUGCCACUUACUGCAACUGGGAAGGAGAUCUCAGAACCGACACCUCAACUAUGGAAGCUUUAAUCUAUUGACAGCAAAUGCAACAUAGCAAGUAAUAUAAGACAGAAUGUGAUCAGUGCAAAAUCGAAUAAUAAAGUCUUGAGAGGGGGUUAUUAGAAUAAUAGACGAGUGUUUAGAUUGAGUAGUGAGCAAUGAGAUAAGUCCUUUGACUUGGGGGUACAGGGGAAUUAUGACCAGGGGUAUGGGAUAGGGAGAAGGUCAUUCUGGAAGGCAAUAAAAGGCAGACAGGACGCUAGUGGUAGAAAAAAAGGAAAACACUUGUUUAUCAAUGUAAAUCAAUGGCGGAAGAAUUACAUAUGACAUAUGCUAUUGAGGAAUACCUUUCAACCGUUCAAAUGACAAAAGGAGUGUCAGAACAAUAUAUAUUCCAUUUUUGUUGAAAAAAUUUGUUUAUAUAGAUAUAAUUUGUGGGGUAUUUGUACAAGAAAAGGAUGCACUCCAAACUUAACAGUGAUUACCCCAUAUUGAAAAUUGUGAAACUUUUACCCUACUUGCAAGCUAACAAUUUAACUUGCCACAGUUUUAUGGAUACUAACAGAAGACACUGGACUCCUGCGUCAGAGACAGAAGACUUUAUUACUUAAUAACACAGGCAUCAUAAGCUUUAUAUUCCCUUGUUCCCAAAGCUUAUGUUCCCAAAGCCCACAGAGGGGCCUAAGCUUGGCAUUCCCCUGCUAGGAUGGAACAGUGGGUUUGCAACCUAGCAGAGGAAUGCCAAGCUUAGGAAGCCCAACCUUUGCUCAGCCUUGCCCCAGAAUGAGCCAUUAUCUUUAUUAUCCUGGUCAGGAAACAACUGUGAUCUAGAAGGAGAUACAAACAUCCUUGAAAACCUAACCUCAAAGAAAAAUCUACCAUAAGACUAGGAGUAAUUUGAGAAGCCAUUAAAGAAUUAUCUCCCAACAUUCUAGGUAAAUACUAUUUGAGGGUGGAGAUGUCAGCUUUUAAGAAUUUUAUAUAAUAUUAAUCUUUAUCAUGUUUCAUUUAUUUUUAAAAAUACAAAAAAUAAAAGGCAAGCAUAGAAGUUUAAAUUUUACUUAGAGAUAAGGAACCACUCAGGGUCAGUGAUUGGAAGAAUGAUAAUGAUAUUUAAGGACCACGUCUUGUAUAGUUAGGAAGGCUAUCUCAAGGCUGUUGCAGUCACAUAGGUGUGAAGUAAUUAGAACUGAGGAUGGUGGUUAUAUUAAUGGAGAAAAGUAACACUUCAAAGGAGAAAUCUGGCUCUGAUAAUUUCUCCUUUAUCUCCAUGUUUCAUUGAGUAAACUAAGGAAGCCUCUCAAGCCUGAAUAACUUAGAAAUUGGCGAUAUUAUCAACCAUUCUAACGGAUAUGUGGUGGUAACUCAUUGAGGUUUUAACUUUGCAUUUCCCUGAUGAAUAAUGGUUACUUUUUAGUGUGCAUACUGGCCAUUCUUUUAUCUUUUGUAAAGAAAGUGUUUAAAUCUUUUGCCUAUUGGUGUUGAAUUAUCUUAUUCAUUAAAUUGUGAGAGUUCUUUAUAUA
Molecule: long non-coding RNA, 2830 nt
Organism: Homo sapiens (human)
Lineage: Eukaryota; Metazoa; Chordata; Mammalia; Primates; Hominidae
Source: Ensembl